AUUGACCGCUGGCGGCAGGCCUAACACAUGCAAGUCGAGCGAGCGGCGGACGGGUGAGUAAUGUAUGGGGACUGCCCGAUAGAGGGCGAUAACUACUGGAAACGGUAGCUAAUACCGCAUACUAUCGGAUAACCCAUAUGGUAUUAGCUAGUAGGUGAGGUAAUGGCUCACCUAGGCGACGAUCCCUAGCUGGUCUGAGAGAAUGAUCAGCAAAACUGGGACUGAGACACGGCCCAGACUCCGACGGAGGCAGCAGUGGGGAAUAUUGCACAAUGGGCGCAAGCCUGAUGCAGACAUGCCGCGUGUAUGAAGAAGGCCCUAGGGGUGUAAAGUUCUGUAAUUCGGGAGGCGUUACCGACAGAAGAAGCACCGGCUAACUCCGUGCCAGCAGCCGCGGUAAUUC
Molecule: ribosomal RNA, 403 nt
Filed under: uncultured bacterium
Lineage: Bacteria
Description: partial 16S ribosomal RNA
Rfam family: Bacterial small subunit ribosomal RNA
Source: RNAcentral